This 522-nucleotide ribosomal RNA is filed under the name uncultured Glomeraceae. RNAcentral's name for it is "SSU rRNA". It matches the Rfam family "Eukaryotic small subunit ribosomal RNA", at positions 569 to 1092 of the family's 1831-position model. Lineage: Eukaryota; Fungi; Glomeromycota; Glomeromycetes; Glomerales; Glomeraceae. The record is from RNAcentral.
AGCAGCCGCGGUAAUUCCAGCUCCAAUAGCGUAUAUUAAAGUUGUUGCAGUUAAAAAGCUCGUAGUUGAAUUUCGGGAUCAAGGGAUCGGUCAUGCCUUGGUAUGUACUGGUUUCAUUGGUUCUCACCUUCUAAAGAACCAUAAUGUCAUUCAUUUGAUGUUAUGGGGAAUUAGGACUGUUACCUUGAAAAAAUUAGAGUGUUUAAAGCAGGCUUUACGCUUGAAUACAUUAGCAUGGAAUAAUGAAAUAGGACAUCCGAUUCUAUUUUGUUGGUUUCUAGGAUCGAUGUAAUGAUUAAUAGGGAUAGUUGGGGGCAUUAGUAUUCAAUUGUCAGAGGUGAAAUUCUUGGAUUUAUUGAAGACUAACUACUGCGAAAGCAUUUGCCAAGGAUGUUUUCAUUAAUCAAGAACGAAAGUUAGGGGAUCGAAGACGAUCAGAUACCGUCGUAGUCUUAACCAUAAACUAUGCCGACUAGGGAUCGGAUGAUGUUUAUUUUUUAGUGACUCAUUCGGCACCUUACG